Molecule: ribosomal RNA, 465 nt
Filed under: uncultured bacterium
Lineage: Bacteria
Description: partial 16S ribosomal RNA
Rfam family: Bacterial small subunit ribosomal RNA
Source: RNAcentral
GACGAACGCUGGCGGCGUGCUUAACACAUGCAAGUCGUACGGUAAGGCCCUUUCGGGGGUACACGAGUGGCGCACGGGUGAGUAACACGUGAGUAACCUGCCCACAACUUUGGGAUAACGCUAGGAAACUGGUGCUAAUACUGGAUAUGUGCUCCUGCUGCAUGGUGGGGGUUGGAAAGCUCCGGCGGUUGUGGAUGGACUCGCGGCCUAUCAGCUUGUUGGUGGGGUAGUGGCCUACCAAGGCGGCGACGGGUAGCCGGCCUGAGAGGGUGACCGGCCACAUUGGGACUGAGAUACGGCCCAGACUCCUACGGGAGGCAGCAGUGGGGAAUAUUGCACAAUGGGCGCAAGCCGGAUGCAGCAACGCCGCGGGCGGGAUGACGGCCUUCGGGUUGUAAACCGCUUUCAGCAGGGACGAAGCUUUUUGUGACGGUACCUGCAGAAGAAGCACCGGCUAACUACGUG